Long non-coding RNA from Carassius carassius (crucian carp), 511 nucleotides. RefSeq lists it as uncharacterized. The transcript is spliced from 2 exons. The record is from RefSeq and is a predicted model, not a curated record. NCBI's taxonomy places the organism in Eukaryota, Metazoa, Chordata, Actinopteri, Cypriniformes, Cyprinidae.
CACAUGAAGGCAAAUGAUGCCAUUUUCAUUUGUUAAAUCAUUUCAUUUGUCUUUUUGCCAGGACCUACUUGGGAAUCCUUUUUCCAGCAAUUUCAGGUUCUGAGUUUAUGUCAGAAGUAUAGCUGGCCUUCUUCCAAUUGUUGGCUACAUUCUGAAAAGAUGCUGAAAACAAGAAAUGCAGGAUUUACACAAGCUCCAGUCUGGAUCCAGAACACCUGAGAAGAGAUGAUGCUGACCCUCAGAGGACCCCAGAUGAUGCUAACCCAGAGACAACAUACAGAAGUACCACAUUUUGCUAUAAGUUUGAUUGCAUAAUUGCUGUUAAUAGUGUUAAUCGUCUGUUUAUGUCUUCUAUUGAUUUUUCCGAUUUUUCUACCAUAUGCACAUAAACUGACAGUCAUCACUGAAAAGCUACUACUAAAUAUUUUAGAAACUUAAUUUUCUGUAAAGUUGCUUUGCAAUGAUUUGAAUCGUAAAAAGCGCUAUACAAAUAAACUUGAAUUGGAUUGUG